GUGAAAACAAUUGCCAGGAACAGAGAUCAGUGCAGAGGAGGGACACUGACUGGUGCCAGCAGAGACAGUGAUCAGUAUUGAGGAGAACAGUGACUGGUGCCAAGGGCAGUGAUCAGUACAGAGGAAGGACACUGACUAGUGUCAGGGACAACAUACAGGAUGGUAUGAUUGAUCAUUAGUGCGUGCCGCUAUGUGGCACGCAAAAUAUCCAACUCCACUCGUGGAGGCGAGGAGGCCAUUGGGGCAGCCAGUGGAUCUGCAAGACCAUCAUGUUCACUGCGCCAAGGGAAAAAGAAAGAUGGUGAAAUAAAAUCACAACCACCUACCCUUUCCACCCCACUGACCUCUGACACCUCUGGAGAAUUCCAUAGUCCCCCCACCUCCACGUCAGGUGACCCGGUGCCUUAUUCAUGCAAGUAAAAAUGCCGGCAGUCAAGAGAAAGGCGUCAUGACCGUCUUGAUCCUUCAGUUCAAGAAAGUCCAGCAGAUGAAUGAUCUUCCUUCCAGAAGCCUCUGAUUACAGAGGGUGGGAGGGGGUGAGACAAGACCACUGCUGUGUUUUCUGAAUAAAGACGUGUGACAUGA
Molecule: long non-coding RNA, 585 nt
Organism: Rana temporaria (common frog)
Lineage: Eukaryota; Metazoa; Chordata; Amphibia; Anura; Ranidae
Exons: 3
Source: RefSeq, a predicted model, not a curated record